RNAcentral lists this ribosomal RNA (473 nucleotides) under uncultured Bacillus sp. RNAcentral describes it as "bacterial SSU rRNA". It matches the Rfam family "Bacterial small subunit ribosomal RNA", at positions 419 to 881 of the family's 1533-position model. The record is from RNAcentral. Lineage: Bacteria; Bacillati; Bacillota; Bacilli; Caryophanales; Bacillaceae.
CGGAUCGUAAGCUCUGUUGUUAGGGAAGAAACAAGUGCGAGAGUAACUGCUCGCACCUUGACGGUACCUAACCAGAAAGCCACGGCUAACUACGUGCCAGCAGCCGCGGUAAUACGUAGGUGGCAAGCGUUGUCCGGAAUUAUUGGGCGUAAAGGGCUCGCAGGCGGUUUCUUAAGUCUGAUGUGAAAGCCCCCGGCUCAACCGGGGAGGGUCAUUGGAAACUGGGAAACUUGAGUGCAGAAGAGGAGAGUGGAAUUCCACGUGUAGCGGUGAAAUGCGUAGAGAUGUGGAGGAACACCAGUGGCGAAGGCGACUCUCUGGUCUGUAACUGACGCUGAGGAGCGAAAGCGUGGGGAGCGAACAGGAUUAGAUACCCUGGUAGUCCACGCCGUAAACGAUGAGUGCUAAGUGUUAAGGGGGGUUUCCGCCCCUUAGUGCUGCAGCUAACGCAUUAAGCACUCCGCCUGGGGAGU